RNAcentral lists this ribosomal RNA (253 nucleotides) under uncultured bacterium. RNAcentral describes it as "partial 16S ribosomal RNA". It matches the Rfam family "Bacterial small subunit ribosomal RNA", at positions 524 to 776 of the family's 1533-position model. The record is from RNAcentral.
UACGUAGGGUGCAAGCGUUGUCCGGAAUUAUUGGGCGUAAAGAGCUCGUAGGCGGUUUGUCGCGUCUGCUGUGAAAACGCGAGGCUCAACCUCGCGCCUGCAGUGGGUACGGGCAGACUAGAGUGCGGUAGGGGAGACUGGAAUUCCUGGUGUAGCGGUGGAAUGCGCAGAUAUCAGGAGGAACACCGGUGGCGAAGGCGGGUCUCUGGGCCGUAACUGACGCUGAGGAGCGAAAGCGUGGGGAGCGAACAGG